This is a long non-coding RNA of Syngnathus acus (greater pipefish), 140 nucleotides long. RefSeq lists it as uncharacterized. Lineage: Eukaryota; Metazoa; Chordata; Actinopteri; Syngnathiformes; Syngnathidae. The record is from RefSeq and is a predicted model, not a curated record. The transcript has 2 exons.
AUACACAAAUGUUGACUUAAAUAGUUCCAGGAUCUUUCUCUGGGGAUUCUCUUGUCUCCAUUUAUUGAAGAGGAGUCCAGAACUCCCAUAAAGCAAAGCACCUGGCUUGAGUACACUCACCUAUCAACAACAGCAUCUGG